CGGGGUGUAGCUCAGCCUGGUAGAGCACUUGCUUCGGGAGCAAGGGGCCGGAGGUUCGAAUCCUCUCACCCCGACCA
This 77-nucleotide transfer RNA is filed under the name Candidatus Muproteobacteria bacterium RBG_16_64_10. Its description in RNAcentral is "tRNA-Pro". It matches the Rfam family "tRNA". Rfam says of the family: Transfer RNA (tRNA) molecules are approximately 80 nucleotides in length. Their secondary structure includes four short double-helical elements and three loops (D, anti-codon, and T loops). RNAcentral also lists the same sequence under 3 other names. The record is from RNAcentral. Lineage: Bacteria; Pseudomonadati; Pseudomonadota; Candidatus Muproteobacteria.